AAGUCGUAACAAGGUUUCCGUAGGUGAACCUGCGGAAGGAUCAUUAGAGAACACGUCCGAGGGGAGCUUCGUUCGUUGCUGGCCGCUUUGCAGCGGCACCGUGCACGCGUCGCGCCCCGAGGCGUCCCUUCACUAAGCCCCACACACCACACUUGUGAACCCUUGGGAGUCCGUCCGGUCGAAAGGCCGGUGGGCCCGUCAUAUCAUACCCCUUUAAACACGAACCAUAGAAUGUCACCGUUUGCCCUUGAUUGGGUGGACAAAAAGUUACAACUUGCAACGAUGGAUCUCUCGGCUCUU
Molecule: unclassified non-coding RNA, 300 nt
Filed under: fungal sp.
Lineage: Eukaryota; Fungi
Description: partial internal transcribed spacer region
Rfam family: Eukaryotic small subunit ribosomal RNA (bases 1-46)
Source: RNAcentral